This 254-nucleotide ribosomal RNA is filed under the name uncultured bacterium. Its description in RNAcentral is "partial 16S ribosomal RNA". It matches the Rfam family "Bacterial small subunit ribosomal RNA", at positions 524 to 777 of the family's 1533-position model. The record is from RNAcentral.
UACGUAGGGUGCGAGCGUUGCCCGGAUUUAUUGGGCGUAAAGGGCGCGUAGGCGGUCACGCACGUCCGUUGUGAAAUCGCUCGGCUCAACUGGGCGGGGUCAGCGGAUACGGCGUGGCUGGAGCAAGCUAGGGGGCAAUGGAAUUCCCGGUGUAGUGGUGGAAUGCGUAGAUAUCGGGAGGAACACCAGUGGCGAAGGCGGUUGCCUGGAGCUUUGCUGACGCUGAUGCGCGAAAGCGUGGGGAGCGAGUCCGG